UAAGCUGUCUCAUUGCUCAUGGCAAAGAGAUGGAAUUCCAGGGAAAAACUUUAUUUAAACUAAUAAUUAAAGUUUUUUUAAUUUGUGCAGAAACAAUUAUUAUAAUUAAGGACAAGAAGACCCCUCAUGAAUUUAUAAACUUAUUUUUUUAUCAAUAAAAUUUAUUAAGUAUUUCAAGAUGGGGCGAGAAGAAUAAUAUAAACUAUUUUUCAUUAUAAUAAUCCCCUCAUUCAAUAAUUAUUUAUAAAAUAAACACGCAGGGAGAAGCCAUCUAUAUCUUUUUAGAAAAAACAAAUUAACAAAUAAGCUUCCACCCACUUUGUUGGGUACAGUAUUCUUUAUUAAUACAGUAUUAAAAGAAGAGAGGUCUCCUCUACUAUAACUUCCCUAAAUUAGCUCAGUCCAGAACAGAAUACCAAAGCAAUUAAAAAGUUGAG
RNAcentral lists this ribosomal RNA (437 nucleotides) under Rhipicephalus appendiculatus. RNAcentral's name for it is "partial 16S ribosomal RNA". The record is from RNAcentral. Lineage: Eukaryota; Metazoa; Arthropoda; Arachnida; Ixodida; Ixodidae.